GCCAGGUGCGGUGGCGCAUGCCUGUAAUCUCAGCUACUCGGGAGGCUGAGGCAGGAGAAUCGCUUGAACCCGGGAGGUGGAGGUUGCAGUGAGCUGAGAUCGGGCCACUGCACUCUAGCCUGGGUGACAGAGUGAGACUCUGUCUCAA
Molecule: unclassified non-coding RNA, 148 nt
Organism: Pongo abelii (Sumatran orangutan)
Lineage: Eukaryota; Metazoa; Chordata; Mammalia; Primates; Hominidae
Rfam family: Metazoan signal recognition particle RNA
About the family: The signal recognition particle (SRP) is a universally conserved ribonucleoprotein. It is involved in the co-translational targeting of proteins to membranes.
Source: Ensembl